AUUGCCGAAUGGUUAGCAUUUGCGCGUUGUAUCAUAAGGUCUGUCAUUAAGUCAGCUGGCUUGGUUUCGAUUCCCUGUUUGUACGUGACAAGGAGUAGGGUCGUCUGUCCAACCUCGUGUGUUUUUUCUGGGUCCUCCGGUUAGCGAAUUAUUGAAAUAAAAUUGAACCAUAUGUAAGUCCUGAAAUGACCAGGUUUGUGUCGAGUGGACGUUAAACCUCUCUCUCUCUCUCUCUCUCUCUCUCUCUCAUGACUGACUAUUAGUAGUAGAAUAUUGACCAGUGAGAAUACAGCUAGGAAUUUGGAAUCGAGUAGAGGUGCACAUUGGAAAAUAGGCAAGUGCACUAAAAUAACAUGGCAGACACAAUGAAGAGAUGAGAGUAAACCACCACUACCGGAUUGAUUCAGGAUUGUGUGUACUUCUAUAGUUUAUAUGAAAAUGCCAUGAUAACAGCAGGUUUGAUAGAUGAUCCACGUACAAUGGUUGGGAGAUUGAAUAAUUUACUGGAGAAAGCACUGGAGAAACACUGAACUAUCAACCAUCUUUUAGUAAACUAAAAUAUAGUGUAUAUUGCAAGGAUCCUAUGUAGGUGUAGUCAUAUAGAAAAUAAUAAGAUUUAUAACGAGUGGGAUUUGUAUUUGUCUUGAUGGUGGUCAUCUAAUGACAUGCAAGGUUUCUAUCUUGAUGGUGGACAUCUACAUUCUGCCUUAAUGGUCACUUAAACAAUUUUAUAAUAUAAUUUAUCUUCUAUUGUGCUAUUGUAUUCUUUCAUAUCCAUCAAUAAAUACAAUACCUUUAGAAAUAAAA
This is a long non-coding RNA of Patella vulgata (common limpet), 807 nucleotides long. RefSeq lists it as uncharacterized. The transcript is spliced from 2 exons. The record is from RefSeq and is a predicted model, not a curated record. NCBI's taxonomy places the organism in Eukaryota, Metazoa, Mollusca, Gastropoda, Patellidae.